This 1080-nucleotide long non-coding RNA is filed under the name Brassica napus (rape). RNAcentral describes it as "long non-coding RNA (BNAP_LNC016580)". The record is from RNAcentral. Lineage: Eukaryota; Viridiplantae; Streptophyta; Magnoliopsida; Brassicales; Brassicaceae.
UCUAUAUUGUGCUAGCAUCAAUGAUCAAAAAUAUUUUCUACCCAAGAUCUGUAGUCGCCUAUUUAUCUCCCUUACUUAUGAAACUAAUUUCACACAAACCUAUAUUUUACAGCUUAAAAGGAACUACAACAACCCAAACAAUCAAAACAUCAAAAACUAGAAUCCCAAAAAAGACGAAUCAUUAAUGAUCACCUCUCUUUUUUUGUCUAAUCUUACAAAUAAACUUCAAAACAAAUAUACCAAACCAAUCACCUGAACUAAAACUCAACGACACCUACAUCGAGUCAGCUAAACAAAUACAAACUACACGGCCAACUAUUUAACAAUUUAGAAACUUAUUUUCGCAGAUGCUUACGAAGAAGGCAACCAAGAUCACUGAAAUCGCCUAAACGAAAAAGCAUAAUAAGUUACGAACUAUAAUAAAUACAACUAACAACGAUUUUUGUUUACAUAUUACACAUCAAAUAAAAGAUAAACAAACAAAGAUACACCAAAAGAUUCAAGAGACAAUCCCGAUAUACACAAAGGCGGCAACAACAUCUCCACCUGCUCACUCCUCUUGUCUUAUAAAAAUAGCUUACAUGUCCAAUGUCAACAGGCCAAUAUUGUUGUCUUCUUAUGAGAAAUACAUAAAUUUGUUUAAAACCCAUUAAGGCCCAAAUACUGAGAAUUGUCACUUAUUUUAUAGUUAUUUCUACAAGUCUUCGUGUAUUUGUUUUAAAGGUCCGGUAAAAGCAACAAGUUUAAAACUUAAGAAAAACCAUAUAAUAAACAUAAUAAGGAUAAUAAAAAUUAUUACUUAAUAUACACAAAUUACACAACUAAACUAGCGUAAAAAUAUCCAGAAACAAAAGGUAUGUUCAACAACCUUAAUAUAAUUUAUGUACUCUCAACAGUACACGAAACAAAUUAAAAAGACAAACAAACAAUAAGUCUCAAAGACACAGCAAGCAACACCACGAACUAUAUCAAUCACAUUACUAACACAGUUUACUCCUUCAUAAGUGGAGAACAAUGCCUACAAAGUUCAUCAUCACAACUCUAAUCCUAUAACAAUAAAAAACUUGAAAAACAAUGAUC